CCUACGGGAGACAGCAGUGAGGAAUAUUGGUCAAUGGGCGCAAGCCUGAACCAGCCAAGUCGCGUGAAGGAUGACUGCUCUACGGGUUGUAAACUUCUUUUGUAAAGGAAUAAAGUGAGACACGUGUGCCUUUUUGUAAGUACUUUAUGAAUAAGGAUCGGCUAACUCCGUGCCAGCAGCCGCGGUAAUACGGAGGAUCCGAGCGUUAUCCGGAUUUAUUGGUUUUAAAGGUCGCGUCGGUGGGUUGUUAAGUCAGUUGUGAAAUUUUGAGGCUUAACCGUAAAAUUGCAACUGAUACUGGCAGUCUUGAGUACAGUUGAGGUAGGCGGAAGGCGUGGUGUAGCGGUGAAAUGCUUAGAGAUCACGAAGAACAACGAUUGCGAAGGCAGCUUACUAAACUGCAACUGACGUUGAGGCACGAAAGUGUGGGGAUCAAACAGGAUUAGAUACCCUUGUAGUC
This 460-nucleotide ribosomal RNA is filed under the name uncultured bacterium. Its description in RNAcentral is "partial 16S ribosomal RNA". It matches the Rfam family "Bacterial small subunit ribosomal RNA", at positions 338 to 795 of the family's 1533-position model. The record is from RNAcentral.